RNAcentral lists this ribosomal RNA (497 nucleotides) under uncultured bacterium. RNAcentral describes it as "partial 16S ribosomal RNA". It matches the Rfam family "Bacterial small subunit ribosomal RNA", at positions 28 to 507 of the family's 1533-position model. The record is from RNAcentral.
GAUGAACGCUGGCGGCGUGCCUAAUACAUGCAAGUCGAGCGAACGGACGAGAAGCUUGCUUCUCUGAUGUUAGCGGCGGACGGGUGAGUAACACGUGGAUAACCUACCUAUAAGACUGGGAUAACUUCGGGAAACCGGAGCUAAUACCGGAUAAUAUUUUGAACCGCAUGGUUCAAAAGUGAAAGACGGUCUUGCUGCCACUUAUAGAUGGAUCCGCGCUGCAUUAGCUAGUUGGUAAGGUAACGGCUUACCAAGGCAACGAUGCAUAGCCGACCUGAGAGGGUGAUCGGCCACACUGGAACUGAGACACGGUCCAGACUCCUACGGGAGGCAGCAGUAGGGAAUCUUCCGCAAUGGGCGAAAGCCUGACGGAGCAACGCCGCGUGAGUGAUGAAGGUCUUCGGAUCGUAAAACUCUGUUAUUAGGGAAGAACAAAUGUGUAAGUAACUGUGCACAUCUUGACGGUACCUAAUCAGAAAGCCACGGCUAACUACGUG